Molecule: non-coding RNA, 27 nt
Filed under: Cricetulus griseus (Chinese hamster)
Lineage: Eukaryota; Metazoa; Chordata; Mammalia; Rodentia; Cricetidae
Source: RNAcentral
GUCAAAGUCGGUGCAGUUGAUGCAGAU